AAAAAUCAGAGCUCUUCUCCCCUCUUAAAGCUCCAGCCUGGAUCCGAUCAAACGCUCCGGCGUGCCUCCGCCGUAGAUCCGCCGCAGGCGGUGGCCGGAGGUACAAAAUGGAACCUUUCCGGUUCCUUUUUGAAGCCGAUGACCUCUUGAGCACGGAUCCAAUGCCGAAUCUUGUGAAAGGUGAGCCCAACCCCAAAAACCGAGGAGU
This 208-nucleotide long non-coding RNA is filed under the name Gossypium barbadense (sea-island cotton). RNAcentral describes it as "long non-coding RNA (GBAR_LNC013283)". The record is from RNAcentral. Lineage: Eukaryota; Viridiplantae; Streptophyta; Magnoliopsida; Malvales; Malvaceae.